GAUGAAGAACGCAGCGAAAUGCGAUAAGUAAUGCGAAUUGCAGAAUUUCCGUGAGUCAUCGAAUCUUUGAACGCACAUUGCGCCCCUUGGUAUUCCGGGGGGCAUGCCUGUUCGAGCGUCAUUAUAACCCCUCAAGCUCAGCUUGGUGUUGGGGCCUGCCGACUGGCAGCCCUUAAAAUCAGUGGCGGCGCCAUCUGGCUCUAAGCGUAGUAAUUUCUCUCGCUAUAGAGUCCCGGUGGAUGCUUGCCAGCAACCCCCAACUUUCUAUGGUUGACCUCGGAUCAGGUAGGGAUACCCGCUGAACUUAAGCAUAUCAAUAAGCGGAGGA
RNAcentral lists this unclassified non-coding RNA (328 nucleotides) under soil metagenome. RNAcentral's name for it is "partial contains 5.8S ribosomal RNA, internal transcribed spacer 2, and large subunit ribosomal RNA". The stretch from base 1 to 121 matches the Rfam family "5.8S ribosomal RNA", at positions 35 to 154 of the family's 154-position model. The record is from RNAcentral.